AGUGAACGCUGGCGGUAGGCCUAACACAUGCAAGUCGAACGGCAGCACAGUAAGAGCUUGCUCUUACGGGUGGCGAGUGGCGGACGGGUGAGGAAUACAUCGGAAUCUACUUUUUCGUGGGGGAUAACGUAGGGAAACUUACGCUAAUACAGCAUACGACCUACGGGUGAAAGCAGGGGAUCUUCUGACCUUGCGUGAUUGAAUGAGCCGAUGUCGGAUUAGCUAGUUGGCGGGGUAAAGGCCCACCAAGGCGACGAUCCGUAGCCGGUCUGAGAGGAUGAUCAGCCACACUGGAACUGAGACACGGUCCAGACUCCUACGGGAGGCAGCAGUGGGGAAUAUUGGACAAUGGGCGCAAGCCUGAUCCGGCCAUACCGCGUGGGUGAAGAAGGCCUUCGGGUUGUAAAGCCCUUUUGUUGGGAAAGAAAAGCAGCAGGUUAAUACCCCGCUGUUCUGACGGUACCCAAAGAAUAAGCACCGGCUAACUUCGUG
This 492-nucleotide ribosomal RNA is filed under the name uncultured bacterium. Its description in RNAcentral is "partial 16S ribosomal RNA". It matches the Rfam family "Bacterial small subunit ribosomal RNA", at positions 29 to 507 of the family's 1533-position model. The record is from RNAcentral.